This 774-nucleotide ribosomal RNA is filed under the name uncultured Neocallimastigales. RNAcentral describes it as "partial large subunit ribosomal RNA". It matches the Rfam family "Eukaryotic large subunit ribosomal RNA", at positions 24 to 649 of the family's 3401-position model. The record is from RNAcentral. Lineage: Eukaryota; Fungi; Neocallimastigomycota; Neocallimastigomycetes; Neocallimastigales.
UAUGUGAUCGUCUCUCGCAUAUCAAUAAGCGGAGGAAAAGAAACUAACAAGGAUUCCCCUAGUAACGGCGAGUGAAGCGGGAAGAGCUCAAAUUUGAAAUCUUAAAGGGUUUCCCUUUACGAAUUGUAGUUUAAAGAAGUGUUUUCUGUUGAGGUUUUGGUAAAAGUUCUUUGGAAUAGGACAUCAUAGAGGGUGAGAAUCCCGUAUUUGACCUUUACUUUCAACUUUGUGAUACACUUUCAAAGAGUCGGAUUGUUUGGGAAUGCAGUCCAAAAUGGGUGGUAAAUUUCAUCUAAAGCUAAAUAUUGGCGAGAGACCGAUAGCGAACAAGUACCGUGAGGGAAAGAUGAAAAGAACAUUGAAAAGAGAGUUAAACAGUACGUGAAAUUGUCAAAAGGGAAGCGUUUGACACCAGUGUUGUUUUUCUGAAAAUCAAUUAAAGAACUGUUUAUGCUAAGCUGUUUAGACUUUAUCAGCUAUCUGUUUAGUUUUGAGCUUUUCUUUAAUGCACUUUUCAGUUAACAAGUCAACAUCAAUUUCUUUUGCUGUAAAAAAGCUUGAGGAAGGUGGCUUGAGAUUCGUCUUAAGUGUUUAUAGCCUCUUGCCUAUGCAGUCGGAGAGAUUGAGGUCUGCAGCGUAGAUCCUUCGGGGCUAAAUGCAUUUGUGCUAAGUUAUAGCAUUUUAUAGACAACUUGUUGACUAUGAUUUGUCUUGUAGCUUACUCGCUUAUGUUAUUUUACCUACGCUUAGGAUGUUGAGUAGCGACAUACGCAC